Molecule: ribosomal RNA, 256 nt
Filed under: uncultured bacterium
Lineage: Bacteria
Description: partial 16S ribosomal RNA
Rfam family: Bacterial small subunit ribosomal RNA
Source: RNAcentral
UACGGAGGGUGCAAGCGUUAUCCGGAUUCACUGGGUUUAAAGGGUGCGUAGGUGGGUCUGUAAGUCAGUGGUGAAAUCUCCGGGCUUAACUCGGAAACUGCCGUUGAUACUAUAGAUCUUGAAUAUCGCGUAGGUAAGCGGAAUAUGUCAUGUAGCGGUGAAAUGCUUAGAUAUGACAUAGAACAUCGAUUGCGAAGGCAGCUCGCUACGCUAUUAUUGACACUGAGGCACGAAAAGCGUGGGGGAUCAAAACAGG